Molecule: ribosomal RNA, 406 nt
Filed under: uncultured bacterium
Lineage: Bacteria
Description: bacterial SSU rRNA
Rfam family: Bacterial small subunit ribosomal RNA
Source: RNAcentral
GUGGGGAAUAUUGCACAAUGGAGGAAACUCUGAUGCAGCGACGCCGCGUGAGUGAAGAAGUAGUUCGCUAUGUAAAGCUCUAUCAGCAGGGAAGAUAGUGACGGUACCUGACUAAGAAGCUCCGGCUAAAUACGUGCCAGCAGCCGCGGUAAUACGUAUGGAGCAAGCGUUAUCCGGAUUUACUGGGUGUAAAGGGAGCGUAGGUGGCCAGGCAAGUCAGAAGUGAAAGCCCGGGGCUCAACCCCGGGACUGCUUUUGAAACUGCAGGGCUAGAGUGCAGGAGGGGCAAGUGGAAUUCCUAGUGUAGCGGUGAAAUGCGUAGAUAUUAGGAGGAACACCAGUGGCGAAGGCGGCUUGCUGGACUGUAACUGACACUGAGGCUCGAAAGCGUGGGGAGCAAACAGGA